UUAAAGUCAGAAACACAUUAUUGAUUAAGUUACAGGGAAACAGAGACCCAUAUACACUGCAGGUAAGAGGGUAACUUGGUCCAUCUAUUUGGCAGAGUUCCUCGGUUUUUUCUACAAGAACAACUUAGCCUUGCCUGAAGGAAAAACCUAGAAGCAAUUUGAAUUCUAGAUCUAUAGCUUAGACAAAAACCAUGUCCAUGAGUGUGAGGAUUCAUGCUGUGGGAGAGUCUCCACGCUCCCCACCCACUCCCAGCCACCAGGCGAGACUCUGUGAAUCACAGACGCCAGGUAUGCCGACAGAAGCGUGUGCUUUUAUUUGUUCUCUGGUCAAAACACAUUUUCCGUGCCCAGCCCUUUUCUGGGUGCCAGGAAUACACAAAGGACCGGGCACAGAGGAAGCAUCCGUGGCAGCACCAAGGCUUCAGCGGGGACUGCGGAUACCUCAGGCUUGUGUGGGAAGUGGACUCCCUGGACACCAGGAAUCCUCAGCUUCAUCACACUGGCAUCAAUCUGUCUGCAGAAAGAACAUUAGAUCAGCACGUCUACCUAUGGGGCAGCCACCUUAUGUCCAGAUUCUCCACCUCAAGUGGGACCCUGGCCAACAAGUUCCAAGGCCAUUUGGGGCAGGAAAGAUGGAGCGCGAGGUGGCAAAAUUGAAGAAUCACUGGUCUUGGGGGCCCACACCAAAGAUGUCUGAGACGGAAGCCUUGCCCCAGGUGACUGACUGCAUUGAACACGGUGGAUGCCAUGCUCAGGUUCCUUCCACACCUUUCAUUGUCUCUCUGGUAAUCUGAGCCUCAGAAGUGAAUAAUGAAUAUCCAAAGUCCUACAGCAAGUUAGGGGCACAGAUGGAGCGGAACACAGUCUGUGGGAAGAAAACACCAAGAGUGUCUUGCUCUGGCACCCAAGAUGGAAAUGAGCGUGGGUGUAGCAGACAAUUUUCAUUUCUUGGCUUGUGAACUUGAGAAUACCAUUCCUAUCUGGAGGGAAUUCCCCUCCACAUGAGUCCUGGUAGUUAGAGACUCAGACCAUCUUUUAUAACAAAGCUGGAAAGAAAGCUGCCUGCUGUCUUGCUUCCCCUGUAGCACAACUUCAUGUGCACAUUUCCUGGGUUCAGAUAAGCAGAUGCACAAACUCUGGACUGGGCUUGAAAGCUCCUGAUAAUAAGAAGAGAGAGAUUAUUCCAGGGCAGCUACAGAAAUGGCAGCUGUAUUGGUCUUCUCAGAAGAGGAACGGAAAUGCUGGCUCAGGC
RNAcentral lists this long non-coding RNA (1252 nucleotides) under Equus caballus (horse). RNAcentral's name for it is "lncRNA (ENSECAG00000054120.1)". Lineage: Eukaryota; Metazoa; Chordata; Mammalia; Perissodactyla; Equidae. The record is from RNAcentral.